GUGGGUACAAGAAAUCUACUUUAUUCAGCACACUAACCUAAUUUCCGAGACAUGUUACAUACAUGAAACAUGUCUUAGAAAUUAGGAUUUUUCUUGGCUUGUGUGCUGAACAAAGUAAAUUUCUUGUACCCA
This 132-nucleotide microRNA precursor is filed under the name Medicago truncatula (barrel medic). RNAcentral describes it as "MIR2599 microRNA precursor family". It matches the Rfam family "MIR2599 microRNA precursor family". The record is from Rfam by way of RNAcentral. Lineage: Eukaryota; Viridiplantae; Streptophyta; Magnoliopsida; Fabales; Fabaceae.